This 497-nucleotide ribosomal RNA is filed under the name uncultured bacterium. Its description in RNAcentral is "partial 16S ribosomal RNA". It matches the Rfam family "Bacterial small subunit ribosomal RNA", at positions 28 to 507 of the family's 1533-position model. The record is from RNAcentral.
GACGAACGCUGGCGGCGUGCCUAAUACAUGCAAGUUGAGCGCUGAAGGUUGGUACUUGUACCAACUGGAUCAGCAGCGAACGGGUGAGUAACGCGUGGGGAAUCUGCCUUUGAGCGGGGGACAACAUUUGGAAACGAAUGCUAAUACCGCAUAAAAACUUUAAACACAAGUUUUAAGUUUGAAAGAUGCAAUUGCAUCACUCAAAGAUGAUCCCGCGUUGUAUUAGCUAGUUGGUGAGGUAAAGGCUCACCAAGGCGAUGAUACAUAGCCGACCUGAGAGGGUGAUCGGCCACAUUGGGACUGAGACACGGCCCAAACUCCUACGGGAGGCAGCAGUAGGGAAUCUUCGGCAAUGGACGAAAGUCCGACCGAGCAACGCCGCGUGAGUGAAGAAGGUUUUCGGAUCGUAAAACUCUGUUGGUAGAGAAGAACGUUGGUGAGAGUGGAAAGCUCAUCAAGUGACGGUAACUACCCAGAAAGGGACGGCUAACUACGUG